This 429-nucleotide ribosomal RNA is filed under the name Bacteroidota bacterium. RNAcentral's name for it is "Bacteroidetes bacterium partial 16S ribosomal RNA". It matches the Rfam family "Bacterial small subunit ribosomal RNA", at positions 355 to 776 of the family's 1533-position model. The record is from RNAcentral. Lineage: Bacteria; Pseudomonadati; Bacteroidota.
UAGGGAAUAUUCCGCAAUGGACGCAAGUCUGACGGAGAAACACCGCGUGAGUGAAGAAGGAGUUCGGUUGGUAAAACUCUGUUGUUAGAGAAGAACAGCGCAUAGAGUAACUGUUAUGCGUGUGACGGUAUCUAACCAGAAAGCCACGGCUAACUACGUGCCAGCAGCCGCGGUAAUACGCAGGUGGCAAGCGUUGUGCGGAUUUAUUGGGCGUAAAGCGAGCGCAGGCGGUCAAUUAAGUCUGAUGUGAAAGCCCCCGGCUCAACCGGGGAGGGUCAUUGGAAACUGGUUGACUUGAGUGCAGAAGAGGAGUGUGGAAUUCCAUGUGUAGCGGUGAAAUGCGUAGAUAUAUGGAGGAACACCAGUGGCGAAGGCGACUCUCUGGUCUGUAACUGACGCUGAGGCUCGAAAGCGUGGGUAGCAAACAGG